AGGUGCGAUCAUAACAACGCUGAUGCUCCAGAUCCCAUCAGAACUCUGCAAUUAAGCGUGCUUGUACCUGAGUAGUACUAGGAUGGGUGACCUCCUGGGAAGUCCUCGUGUUGCACCUC
Molecule: ribosomal RNA, 119 nt
Organism: Arachis stenosperma
Lineage: Eukaryota; Viridiplantae; Streptophyta; Magnoliopsida; Fabales; Fabaceae
Source: RefSeq, a predicted model, not a curated record